UACGUAGGGGGCUAGCGUUGUCCGGAAUCAUUGGGCGUAAAGCGCGUGUAGGCGGUCCGGUAAGUCCGCUGUGAAAGUCGGGGGCUCAACCCUCGGAUGCCGGUGGAUACUGUCGGGCUUGAGUACGGAAGAGGCGAGUGGAAUUCCUGGUGUAGCGGUGAAAUGCGCAGAUAUCAGGAAGAACACCAACGGCGAAGGCAGCUCGCUGGGACGGUACUGACGCUGGAGGUGCGAAAGCGUGGGGAGCAAACAGG
RNAcentral lists this ribosomal RNA (254 nucleotides) under uncultured bacterium. RNAcentral describes it as "partial 16S ribosomal RNA". It matches the Rfam family "Bacterial small subunit ribosomal RNA", at positions 524 to 776 of the family's 1533-position model. The record is from RNAcentral.